GGCUCCAUAGAGUAGUGGUUAGCACGUCUGCUUUACACGCAGAAGGUCCUGGGUUCGCACCCCAGGUGGAGCCA
This 74-nucleotide transfer RNA is filed under the name Pteropus alecto (black flying fox). It matches the Rfam family "tRNA". From Rfam's summary of the family: Transfer RNA (tRNA) molecules are approximately 80 nucleotides in length. Their secondary structure includes four short double-helical elements and three loops (D, anti-codon, and T loops). The record is from Rfam by way of RNAcentral. Lineage: Eukaryota; Metazoa; Chordata; Mammalia; Chiroptera; Pteropodidae.